ACUCCUACGGGAGGCAGCAGUGGGGAAUAUUGCACAAUGGGGGAAACCCUGAUGCAGCCAUGCCGCGUGUGUGAAGAAGGCCUUCGGGUUGUAAAGCACUUUCAGUAGGGAGGAAGGUAGUGUAGUUAACACCUGCAUCAUUUAGAUUCGACUGAUUACCCUUAACCAAGGAAAAGGAAAGCACCGGCUAACUCCGUGCCAGCAGCCGCGGUAAUACGGAGGGUGCGAGCGUUAAUCGGAAUUACUGGGCGUAAAGCGCAUGCAGGCGGCCUGUUAAGUCAGAUGUGAAAGCCCGGGGCUUAACCUCGGAAUUGCAUUUGAAACUGGCAGGCUAGAGUCUUGUAGAGGGGGGUGAGAA
RNAcentral lists this ribosomal RNA (358 nucleotides) under uncultured bacterium. RNAcentral describes it as "bacterial SSU rRNA". It matches the Rfam family "Bacterial small subunit ribosomal RNA", at positions 335 to 667 of the family's 1533-position model. The record is from RNAcentral.